This 1615-nucleotide ribosomal RNA is filed under the name metagenome. RNAcentral's name for it is "bacterial LSU rRNA". It matches the Rfam family "Bacterial large subunit ribosomal RNA", at positions 1291 to 2925 of the family's 2925-position model. The record is from RNAcentral.
UUUAUGCCGGAAUGAGUAACGAUAAUGCAGGUGAGAAACCUGCACGCCGAAAGCCUAAGGUUUCCUGGGGAAGGUCAAUCCGCCCAGGGUUAGCCGGUUCCUUAGUCGAGGCCGAAAGGCGUAGACGAUGGACAGCAGGUUAAUAUUCCUGCGCCGCUAGCGUGGAGCAAGGGAGGGACAGCAUUUGAAAGAAGAGCCGGCCGGAUAGAAAUGGCCGCGGACGAUUGCUCGGUGGGGGAUAGUAAUACCCUCGUAUCCGGGCCUUUGGACCAAGACCUAGUCGAUGUCUUUAGACAAAUGCUCAAGAAAAUCUCCGACUGCGUUGAAACGCGCGACCGUACUAAAACUGACACAAGUAGGCGAGACGAGUAGUCUCAGGCGCUCGGGAGAACGGUGGUUAAGGAACUCUGCAAAAUGGCCCCGUAACUUCGGGAUAAGGGGCGCCUCCAAUAGUUUACUAUUGAGGCCACAGUAAAUCGGAUUCAGCGACUGUUUAUCAAAAACACAGGACUCUGCCAACUCGCAAGAGGAUGUAUAGAGUCUGACGCCUGCCCGGUGUCGGUAGGUUAAGGAAGAAGGUUAGCCUCACGGCGAAGCUUGCGACCGAAGCCCCGAUAAACGGCGGCCGUAACUAUGACGGUCCUAAGGUAGCGAAGUUCCUUGUCGGGUAAGUUCCGACGUGCAUGAAUGGCGUAACGACUGGAUCACUGUCUCAACCACCGACCCGGUGAAAUUGUAGCCGUGGUGAAGAUGCCACGUUCCCGCAGUUAGACGGAAAGACCCCGUGAACCUUUACUGUAGGCUGAUAUUGGGCUGAGGUAUGCUCUGUGUAGGAUAGGUGGGAGGCUAUGAUCUGGGCGCGCCAGCGUUCAGGGAGCCACCGUUGAAAUACCACCCUGAGAAUGCUUUAGUUCUAACCCCGAGUCCGUGAAACCGGACGGGGGACAGUGUCAGUUGGGCAGUUUGACUGGGGCGGUCUCCUCCAAAAAAGUAACGGAGGAGUACAAAGGUACCCUCAGCCUGGUUGGCAAUCAGGCGUAGAGCGCAUAGGUAUAAGGGUGCUUGACUGCGAGACUUAUCAGUCGAGCAGGCACGAAAGUGGGUCUAAGUGAUCCGGUGGUCCCGUAUGGAAGGGCCAUCGCUCAUCAGAUAAAAGGUACUCCGGGGAUAACAGGCUUAUCGCCUCCGAGCGUCCAUAGCGGCGAGGCGGUUUGGCACCUCGAUGUCGGCUCAUCACAUCCUGGGGGUGAAGAAGCUCCCAAGGGUUUGGCUGUUCGCCAAUGAAAGUGGUACGUGAGCUGGGUUCAGACCGUCGUGAGACAGGUCGGUCCCUAUCUGCUGUGGGCGCACGAAACUUGCGGAGGUUCUUCAUUAGUACGAGAGGAUUUUGAAGGACGGAGCUCUGGUGUUCCAGUUAUCGCGCUAGCGGUACGGCUGGAUAGCUAACUCCGGAAAGGAUAAACGCUGAAAGCAUCUAAGCGUGAAGCCCUCUCCAAGAUCAGGUUUCGUUGAGUCAAAUCGAAAGCCCCCUGGUAGACCACCAGGAUAAUAGGCCGGAUGUGUACGCGUAGAAAUACGUUCAGCUAACCGGUACUAAAGGGCGAAAGCUUGGCCA